RNAcentral lists this transfer RNA (76 nucleotides) under Caloramator proteoclasticus DSM 10124. Its description in RNAcentral is "tRNA_Val_TAC". It matches the Rfam family "tRNA". Rfam says of the family: Transfer RNA (tRNA) molecules are approximately 80 nucleotides in length. Their secondary structure includes four short double-helical elements and three loops (D, anti-codon, and T loops). Further hydrogen bonds mediate the characteristic L-shaped molecular structure. tRNAs have two regions of fundamental functional importance: the anti-codon, which is responsible for specific mRNA codon recognition, and the 3' end, to which the tRNAs corresponding amino acid is attached (by aminoacyl-tRNA synthetases). tRNAs cope with the degeneracy of the genetic code in two manners: having more than one tRNA (with a specific anti-codon) for a particular amino acid; and 'wobble' base-pairing, i.e. permitting non-standard base-pairing at the 3rd anti-codon position. RNAcentral also lists the same sequence under 3 other names. The record is from RNAcentral. Lineage: Bacteria; Bacillati; Bacillota; Clostridia; Eubacteriales; Clostridiaceae.
GGGCGCGUAGCUCAGCUGGGAGAGCAUCUGCCUUACAAGCAGAGGGUCACAGGUUCGAGCCCUGUCGUGCCCACCA